Non-coding RNA from Microcebus murinus (gray mouse lemur), 957 nucleotides. The record is from RefSeq and is a predicted model, not a curated record. NCBI's taxonomy places the organism in Eukaryota, Metazoa, Chordata, Mammalia, Primates, Cheirogaleidae.
AGCCUUGCCUAGCCGUGAGCCACCGCAGACUGCGCCCCGCUGCGCCGGGCCCUGUGCUCCGCGGCUCCGGCUCCACACGGAUCAUCUCUGGUGUCUACCGCAUCCUCCGAGCAGAGGAACGAGGUGCUCAUGUACCCUUCACUGAAGAAACUCUUCCCCUACCUGUGAAGGUGACCUCUGCAAUAGUCAGUGUGGACAGGAGCAUUCACUUUGUCCGGAACGGUGUGUCUACAGUCUGGCGAAGGCUGCUAUAGGCAGAGUACCCUCAGGAUUUCCUUCUAAGCCUUUGAGACUAUGCACAAGCCAUAGCAGCUUCGUUACAGCGGCCGCCUGACAACAAUGGAGAGAUGUUAAGUAUGAGCAAGUGUGCAUCUUAGAAUCGACACGUUCUCAAUCGGUUACAACUGUUAGGGCUGUUACUUUUUCAAUAUGUAUUUUUUCAGUGAGAAACAAUCAUAACACUUCAUGCUUGUAUACAACUUUACAGCUUCCAAAGCAUUUUCCUACACGUUAUCUGAUUGAAAUUUCAGCUUAAAACCAACAUUGGCAGGAAUAUCAUUUUCUCUGGUGGUAGAUGACGUUUCAAAAACCAGUAAGUCAGUAUUAUUAUCUGGCAAAUAAUUUUCAUUCUUUUGAUUUUUGUCUAAUGUAUGCUACUUCAUGAUGAUGUAAUAUGGUACCUUGAUGGGAUAUUGGAACAGAAAAAGGGCAUUCAACAAAAAUCAAGGACAUUUAAAUAUAAUAUGGACUUUAGUUGACAGCAACUCACUGAUGUUGGUUCCUUAAUUGCGACAAAUGUGCCAAUUAAAUGAAGUCUUGGGGGGGGUCCUAAUCUGACAGGAUUGGUGGCCUUGUGAGAAGAAGAGAAAGGCCUCUUUCUGAAGGGAAGAUCUCUCUCUGUCUCUCUCUCUCUCUCCCCACGCACACGCUAAAAGGAAGGCCAUGUGAGCACGCAGU